RNAcentral lists this long non-coding RNA (1704 nucleotides) under Pelobates cultripes (western spadefoot toad). The record is from RNAcentral. Lineage: Eukaryota; Metazoa; Chordata; Amphibia; Anura; Pelobatidae.
CUGCAGUGCCAGGAAAACGGAUUGUUUUCCUGGCAUUGGAGUUUCCCUUUAAUUUCAUAUUUCUUAUUAGUGUAUGUACCUAGGAAGUCAUGUGUAGCUCUUUUUUGAAAUUUGCAAGUAGAACACUUGCCACAGCUAUAAAAACCUGUUAAAUAGAAAAAAUUUGUAUGAAUGUUUUUAUCACGGAGUAAACUAGGAGCUAAUUGUUUUUUUAAAUUCUCUGCCUUUUUAUAUAUAACUAUGGGUAGUUCCGGGAUGACUUUUCCCAAUAUGUCAUCUUUUUUUAAUAUGUGCCAAUGUUUUUUCAAGAUGCUUUCUAUCUUUUUGGCCAGAGAAUUAAACUUCGUGACAAAAGCAUAUUCAAAUUUCUUAUUAUCCCUGUUCUUGGAUUCAAUGUUCUGCUUGAUUAAUAGAGAUUGUCCGUUUAGAUUUUUUUAUCUGUUCCUCAUCUGCAUUAAUUUUGUCUACGUCAUAACCUUUUUCCUCAUAUCUCUUUUUUGUAAUGGUGUUUAGUUCUUCAAAUGUUUGUAAAUCGGUGAAGUUGCGUCUUAGACGCAUCAUCUGUCCUCUUGGGACAUUCGAGAGCCAUGGACUAUAAUGUAGACUGGACUUGUUAAUAGCUGUGUUACAGUCCAUGCUCUUAAAGAAAGUUUUGCUUUUUAAUUGUCCUUCCUCAACAUAGAGGGUGAGGUCCAGAAAGUCAAUUUUAGUGGGAUGUAUAACUGAUGUGAAGUGUAAGUUAUAAUCAUUACAAUUAAUACUGUCUAUAAAGGAUACCAGUUCUUCUGUCUGUCCUUCCCAUAUAAUUAAAACAUCAUCUAUGUAGCGUCGCCAUAGGACGAGACCGGCCGCCUCACUCACAGUGAUAGUUGUGGCUUUCUCAAUGAGACACGUAGAGGUUGGCAAAGCUCGGGGCGAAUCUUGUCCCCAUGGCGACGCCACAUAGCUGCAGGAAAAAAGUGGAAUCGAACCAAAAAUAGUUCCUGGUUAGUAUAAAAUUAAUGCAUUCAAUCAAGAAGUCUAUUUGAUAUAUAUUUAAUUUUUGUUUUGAGACCAAAAUAUCUUUGCUUCUAUUCCCUUAUGAUGAGGGAUGCUCGUUUAUAAAGAAGAUACAUCUACAGUGGCCAUGAUAUAGGUGGAUUUCCAUUCUAUUUUUUUGCAGAUCGUAUAAAAUGUUUUUGUAUAAAUACCUUGUUUAGCUUUACAAAAGCUUAUAGAUAAGCUCCUUUAUGUCCCAUCAUGGUUGGACACUUUCUUUUGGUCUGUAUAUGGUAUUUCCUGUUCCCCAGCCGUAUCAGUAAAACUCUGAUCGUCUAGUCUGCAGCUGCAUUCCAGCUUGGAACGCAUGGAGGAAAUCAGUGUAACCGGAACCGGAAGUGAUGCCGAAAGACUGGAUGCGUCCCAACAUGACGCGCACGCGACGCAUACAGAACACAGGUGAACUCCAUUUCGGCGAUUUAUUUAACCCCUUAAGGACACAUGACAUGUGUGACAUGUCAUGAUUCCAUUUUAUUCCAGAAGUUUGGUCCUUAAGGGGUUAAACGAAGAGGCUAAGGAACAAUUUCAUCACAUCCCUGACGAAGUCCUGUGGACGAAACACAUCGGAUUGACAGUUUGGGACUUACAGUGCUGUAUACAUGUGUUCCACUCGCUAGUGGAUAUAUGCUGUUUUUAACUGGAAUUUUGUAAGUGCAAUUGUAAUAA